This 639-nucleotide ribosomal RNA is filed under the name Peribacillus simplex. RNAcentral's name for it is "bacterial SSU rRNA". It matches the Rfam family "Bacterial small subunit ribosomal RNA", at positions 60 to 682 of the family's 1533-position model. Lineage: Bacteria; Bacillati; Bacillota; Bacilli; Caryophanales; Bacillaceae. The record is from RNAcentral.
AGUCGAGCGAAUCGACGGGAGCUUGCUCCCUGAGAUUAGCGGCGGACGGGUGAGUAACACGUGGGCAACCUGCCUAUAAGACUGGGAUAACUUCGGGAAACCGGAGCUAAUACCGGAUACGUUCUUUUCUCGCAUGAGAGAAGAUGGAAAGACGGUUUACGCUGUCACUUAUAGAUGGGCCCGCGGCGCAUUAGCUAGUUGGUGAGGUAAUGGCUCACCAAGGCGACGAUGCGUAGCCGACCUGAGAGGGUGAUCGGCCACACUGGGACUGAGACACGGCCCAGACUCCUACGGGAGGCAGCAGUAGGGAAUCUUCCGCAAUGGACGAAAGUCUGACGGAGCAACGCCGCGUGAACGAAGAAGGCCUUCGGGUCGUAAAGUUCUGUUGUUAGGGAAGAACAAGUACCAGAGUAACUGCUGGUACCUUGACGGUACCUAACCAGAAAGCCACGGCUAACUACGUGCCAGCAGCCGCGGUAAUACGUAGGUGGCAAGCGUUGUCCGGAAUUAUUGGGCGUAAAGCGCGCGCAGGUGGUUCCUUAAGUCUGAUGUGAAAGCCCACGGCUCAACCGUGGAGGGUCAUUGGAAACUGGGGAACUUGAGUGCAGAAGAGGAAAGUGGAAUUCCAAGUGUAGCGGU